This 109-nucleotide ribosomal RNA is filed under the name Peromyscus maniculatus bairdii (prairie deer mouse). Lineage: Eukaryota; Metazoa; Chordata; Mammalia; Rodentia; Cricetidae. The record is from RNAcentral.
GUCUACGGCCAUACCACCCUGAACGCGCCCGAUCUCGUCUGAUCUCGGAAGCUAAGCAGGGUCAGGCCUGGUUAGUACUUGGAUGGGAGAAAACAAAGGGCUGGAGGGU